RNAcentral lists this ribosomal RNA (503 nucleotides) under uncultured bacterium. Its description in RNAcentral is "partial 16S ribosomal RNA". It matches the Rfam family "Bacterial small subunit ribosomal RNA", at positions 30 to 523 of the family's 1533-position model. The record is from RNAcentral.
AUUGAACGCUGGCGGCAGGCUUAACACAUGCAAGUCGAGCGGGGUGAUGGUGCUUGCACUAUCACUUAGCGGCGGACGGGUGAGUAAUGCUUAGGAAUCUGCCUAUUAGUGGGGGACAACAUCUCGAAAGGGAUGCUAAUACCGCAUAAGUCCUACGGGAGAAAGCAGGGGAUCACGUGUGACCUUGGGCUAAUAGAUGAGCCUAAGUCGGAUUAGCUAGUUGGUGGGGUAAAGGCCUACAAAGGCGACGAUCUGUAGCGGGUCUGAGAGGAUGAUCCGCCACACUGGGACUGGGACACGGCCCAGACUCCUACGGGAGGCAGCAGUGGGGAAUAUUGGACAAUGGGGGGAACCCUGAUCCAGCCAUGCCGCGUGUGUGAAGAAGGCCUUAUGGUUGUAAAGCACUUUAAGCGAGGAGGAGGCUCUUUUGGUUAAUACCCAAGAUGAGUGGACGUUACUCGCAGAAUAAGCACCGGCUAACUCUGUGCCAGCCGCCGCCGUAA